GACGAACGCUGGCGGCGUGCCUAAUACAUGCAAGUCGAGCGAAUCAUUAGGAGCUUGCUCCUGAUGGUUAGCGGCGGACGGGUGAGUAACACGUGGGCAACCUGCCUAUAAGACUGGGAUAACUUCGGGAAACCGGAGCUAAUACCGGAUAAUCCUUUUCCACACAUGUGGGAAAGCUGAAAGACGGUUUCGGCUGUCACUUAUAGAUGGGCCCGCGGCGCAUUAGCUAGUUGGUGAGGUAAUGGCUCACCAAGGCGACGAUGCGUAGCCGACCUGGGAGGGUGAUCGGCCACACUGGGACUGAGACACGGCCCAGACUCCUACGGGAGGCAGCAGUAGGGAAUCUUCCGCAAUGGACGUAAGUCUGACGGAGCAACGCCGCGUGAACGAUGAAGGCCUUCGGGUCGUAAAGUUCUGUUGUUAGGGAAGAACAAGUAUCGGAGUAACUGCCGGUACCUUGACGGUACCUAACCAGAAAGCCACGGCUAACUACGUGCCAGCAGCCGCAGUAA
Molecule: ribosomal RNA, 512 nt
Filed under: uncultured bacterium
Lineage: Bacteria
Description: partial 16S ribosomal RNA
Rfam family: Bacterial small subunit ribosomal RNA
Source: RNAcentral